ACAUGCAGUCGAACGCGUCUCCGUUAAUGAUUUUAGGUGCUUGCACUUGAAAGAUUUAACAUUGAGACGAGUGGCGAACUGGUGAGUAACACGUGGGUAACCUGCCCUUGAAGUAGGGGAUAACACUUGGAAACAGGUGCUAAUACCGUAUAACAACCAAAACCACCUGGUUUUGGUUUAAAAGACGGCUUCGGCUGUCACUUUAGGAUGGACCCGCGGCGUAUUAGCUUGUUGGUAAGGUAACGGCCUACCAAGGCGAUGAUACGUAGCCGACCUGAGAGGGUAAUCGGCCACAUUGGGACUGAGACACGGCCCAAACUCCUACGGGAGGCAGCAGUAGGGAAUCUUCCACAAUGGACGAAAGUCUGAUGGAGCAACGCCGCGUGAGUGAUGAAGGGUUUCGGCUCGUAAAACUCUGUUGUUGGAGAAGAACAGGUGUCAGAGUAACUGUUGACAUCUUGACGG
This 465-nucleotide ribosomal RNA is filed under the name Lentilactobacillus buchneri. RNAcentral describes it as "bacterial SSU rRNA". It matches the Rfam family "Bacterial small subunit ribosomal RNA", at positions 53 to 475 of the family's 1533-position model. The record is from RNAcentral. Lineage: Bacteria; Bacillati; Bacillota; Bacilli; Lactobacillales; Lactobacillaceae.